UACGUAGGGUGCAAGCGUUAAUCGGAAUUACUGGGCGUAAAGCGUGCGCAGGCGGUUUUGUAAGUUUGUCGUGAAAUCCCCCGGGCUCAACCUGGGAAUUGCGAUGGAGACUGCAAGGCUAGAAUCUGGCAGAGGGGGGUAGAAUUCCACGUGAUGAGCAGUGGAAAUGCGUAGAGAUGUGGAGGAACACCGAUGGCGAAGGCAGCCCCCUGGGUCAAGAUUGACGCUCAUGCACGAAGGCG
RNAcentral lists this ribosomal RNA (242 nucleotides) under uncultured bacterium. RNAcentral's name for it is "partial 16S ribosomal RNA". It matches the Rfam family "Bacterial small subunit ribosomal RNA", at positions 524 to 761 of the family's 1533-position model. The record is from RNAcentral.